CAUGCAAGUCGAACGAAGCACUUUAUUUGAUUUCCUUCGGGACUGAUUAUUUUGUGACUGAGUGGCGGACGGGUGAGUAACGCGUGGGUAACCUGCCUUGUACAGGGGGAUAACAGUUGGAAACGGCUGCUAAUACCGCAUAAGCGCACAGCAUCGCAUGAUGCAGUGUGAAAAACUCCGGUGGUAUAAGAUGGACCCGCGUUGGAUUAGCUAGUUGGUGAGGUAACGGCCCACCAAGGCGACGAUCCAUAGCCGACCUGAGAGGGUGACCGGCCACAUUGGGACUGAGACACGGCCCCAACUCCUACGGGAGGCAGCAGUGGGGAAUAUUGCACAAUGGGCGAAAGCCUGAUGCAGCGACGCCGCGUGAGCGAAGAAGUAUUUCGGUAUGUAAAGCUCUAUCAGCAGGGAAGAUAAUGACGGUACCUGACUAAGAAGCACCGGCUAAAUACGUGCCAGCAGCCGCGGUAAUACGUAUGGUGCAAGCGUUAUCCGGAUUUACUGGGUGUAAAGGGAGCGCAGGCGGUGCGGCAAGUCUGAUGUGAAAGCCCGGGGCUCAACCCCGG
Molecule: ribosomal RNA, 566 nt
Filed under: uncultured bacterium
Lineage: Bacteria
Description: bacterial SSU rRNA
Rfam family: Bacterial small subunit ribosomal RNA
Source: RNAcentral